GACUUUCUGAGGGAGAGCUGGAGCCACGGCCCACCAGCACUGUCAACCCACUGGACAUCGCUAGGAAGAGAGCUGUGAGGUUUGAGUUUCAAAGAAUACCAAAAAUCGGAGUUGACUGGCUAAUGUUGUAUUGAUGUUAAUAUUCUACUUCAAUUACUGCAUCACUGCAGUGUGGUUAUAUAGGUUAACAUUUGGUGAAAAUUAUAUAGAAUAUUUUUAUGUCUGGAAUAGCUUUAAAACUGUAAAAAGCAAACCCCAAAGCACUUCUUGGCUUAUCCAUCUCUAGCUCUUCUUAGCUCAGACAGCUUGUUGGCUUUUUCAGCCUGCUCAAGCAAUCCUAGGAGGAAUGCCUGGGGUGAGACAUGUCAGUCACAGAAGAGGAGAAGGACAGAGCCAGGCUGAGCACUAGGAGGUGUUAAGACAGCAUGAGAGAUGUCUGUUUCAGGGCCUCCUAAAACCCACUUAGUUGAGUCCUCAGCCUCCUUAAAACCUUUAGUAUCCAUCCUUAGCCUACCUGGGCAGUGCCUUCUUCAAAGCCUUUGAUGACUUCCUGUUUGCCAAUUCUGAACUUGAAAGGUUUGUUUCUGUCUCUGGAUGAAUCAAAUUUCUUGCCAUUUUGAAGCAUUCCUAUCCAAGUAAGAAGAGGGCAGAAAAGAGCCCUGGGUAUGAGUAAACCAGCAGUUAGACCCAGCAUGUCUAAACACAACUCCUCUUCUACACAAACCCACUCUUCUUCGCCCCUCCCAUCAGCCCUGCUGUCAAGCAGGAAGCCUGGACCCAUCUCUCUGCCUCACCCCUAAGUCUUACAUCUCUUUGGAAUCCAGCUUCAGUUUCUGCUACUGGCACCUGUGGUGUCAUGGCGUCACCUCCACUGCUCACCUGUGGACUGGACCAGCCUCCAAACUGUCGAGUCUACUCCUCACCAGUCUUCCUCUCUCUAGGUGGGCAGAUUUUCCUUUUCCCCACAAUUCUGAUCAUAUUUCCUUCCCUGCUUAGAAAACUUCAAUAGCUCCCAGAGCAGAAUCCAAAAGCCCAAGGCUAACAAUGCCUGCCUUCAAGUUCUCUCUCCCCUCAUACCCCCUCUCCCUACCUAUUCAGAGCACACCAUUCUCAAGUUCCUCCAUACCUGCUAAACCUUUCACAUUACUUUCAGGCUGUAGCCCAGGCUAGCCUGGAGUUCAGUAUGUAGUCUGGCUGGCCUCGAACUUGCAGGAGUUUCCAGGUGCCAAAUCUCAGGUGUGAGACACCACACCCAGUUAGACAGGGUUUUGACAUCAGCACUAACACUGUGUGAUCUUGGAGAAAUAGGCCUCAUAUUUUCCACAUUUAACACAUCUAGCUUUGCCAGCUUACAAGUAUCUGAGCAUCUAUUAUUUUACUUCUGAAUUCCUACAACUUCAAUGUGUACUAGGGAGUCUUAUUUACCUACCUUCUGGGUAGAAUAGAUUGGGCUCCUGCCCUGAGUUCUAAAUGUGGCAAAGGAAAAAUCCUUCUGGCUACCCAGAGAUACACACAGAUGGAUGCUACAGAGAUCAAACACAAACUCAUGCAUAUACACAGUUGCUAAGAUAGUCACAUUCACAGAGAUAUUUAUGCAUGCUCACAAGCAUUUACACACAGACACACAGGAGAGAAGCCCUGAUGGUCAAACAGAUGCUUAGAAAAUAUUUAGAUCGACAGACCUACAUAUAUUCAUACAGAUAGGCCCUUGGACAAAUGUAUGCUUGAAUAUGUGCACAUGCACAGUCCAUUUAUAGACUGCCUUUCCCAUUUCCCCAAUGCCUUCAGCUUUCAUAAAGUUGGAUCUACUGGAAACUGUGUAACAGCUAUCUGAGGCUGUGAUUUCAGACAAAGCUACAUAAUCCAGAAACAGGCCUACAUAAAUAUGUUGACUUCUUUUGCAAAGAUGUUUCUUUAAUACAACAAGUAAAGGAUGGCUUUUUGGAUUAACAUUGCUGGAUUGAACCUAUAUCCACAUUGGGGAAAAACUGAACUUAAACCUCUAGCACCUCUAAACAUAAGAAUCAAUUCUAGAUGAAUCCUAGACCUAAAUAUGAAUAAUAAAAUAAAAAUAAUAAGGGAGUAGUAGGCAUCCUACCAUUCAGAAUUUCUACAAAGUAGCUAGGCAUGAUGGUAUGCACUGUAAUCCCAAGAUUCAGCUGGACGCAGGAGGACCAGGAGUUCAAGGCUAGCCUUGACUAUAGGACAAAUUCAAAGCCAACCUCAGUCACCUGGGACCGUGUCUCAAAUAACAAAACA
RNAcentral lists this long non-coding RNA (2259 nucleotides) under Mus musculus (house mouse). RNAcentral's name for it is "long non-coding RNA chr12:4834224-4836483". Lineage: Eukaryota; Metazoa; Chordata; Mammalia; Rodentia; Muridae. The record is from RNAcentral.